UCUGGCUCAGGAUGAACGCUAGCGACAGGCUAACACAUGCAAGUCGAGGGGCAGCAUAAAAGUAGCAAUACUUGGUGGCGACCGGCGCACGGGUGAGUAACGCGUAUGCAACCUACCUAUCAGAGGGGAAUAACCCGGCGAAAGUCGGACUAAUACCGCAUAAAACAGGGGCACCGCAUGGUGAUAUUUGUUAAAGAAAUUCGCUGAUAGAUGGGCAUGCGUUCCAUUAGGUAGUUGGUGAGGUAACGGCUCACCAAGCCGACGAUGGAUAGGGGAACUGAGAGGUUGGUCCCCCACACUGGUACUGAGACACGGACCAGACUCCUACGGGAGGCAGCAGUGAGGAAUAUUGGUCAAUGGGCGGGAGCCUGAACCAGCCAAGUCGCGUGAAGGAAAGAAGGAUCUAUGGUUCGUAAACUUCUUUUGCAGGGGAAUAAAGUGCAGGACGUGUCCUGUUUUGUAUGUACCCUGAGAAUAAGGAUCGGCUAACUCCGUGCCAGCAGCUGC
RNAcentral lists this ribosomal RNA (507 nucleotides) under uncultured bacterium. RNAcentral describes it as "bacterial SSU rRNA". It matches the Rfam family "Bacterial small subunit ribosomal RNA", at positions 18 to 518 of the family's 1533-position model. The record is from RNAcentral.